Miniopterus natalensis is the source of this 380-nucleotide non-coding RNA. Lineage: Eukaryota; Metazoa; Chordata; Mammalia; Chiroptera; Miniopteridae. The record is from RefSeq and is a predicted model, not a curated record.
CCGUGAUCUAGGGUAGCUGAGGUUGUGCAGCAGUCAGGGCAGGAGUUGGGGUCCCUGGUUGGUAUUUGACAUUUUGCAGGAAGGAUUUUAAUUCGCUUUUCAGUUUCUGCUAUGGAAAGGAUUAGGGAGCAAGGCUCGGCAAGAACUGACUCACCUGAAGUCUGCUCUCACCAUCCUCACUACCACCAUUCCUGGCCCGGCCCUGACCUGAAGGACUGUGCACUGGGGAUCAGAGAGAUGGCCUGACUUCUGCACGUGCGAGAGAGGCUUUCUGGGAACUCUCCCAGGCCUGCUUUGUUCAGCAACGUCAACACAUGGUCCUCGGUGCCCAUUCAACCUCAACAGGAACCCCCAACUUGGGGUGUGGUGAGGAAGGGAAG